UGAAAGAAAAGCAAGUCAACCCCCGGCCGAAAACCACCCCACCUCCUCCCACCAUUGCCCAAACUCCCCACCUUCUCCGGCACGUUCCAUCCCACCCGAGCUGCCGCACCGCCAUACCUCUCCCCAUCCACCUUCCUCCGCCACCCCACCACUGCAACCCGCAAGCCGGACCAGCCCAGCCUCCUUCCGCCAGUGCGGCUCGCCCCGCCGAGCUCCACCUCGCUGGCGCCUAGAUCCGGCGAGGCCCAAGGCAUCCCCAGCCACAUGGAGUCCCGGGGACGGGUCCGAUCCGGCAACCGCCACCGACAUGCCUCCCGGCAAUGGAUCUGGGUCAGCAACCACCCCCCUGCGCGGCCACGACCCGCACAUCUUCCCUUGCAUCUCCCACAUCCCGAACACACCCGCACCUCCCACCCCCGCACCAUCCAUGGUAAUCCCCUCCACCUUCUUCCGCCACUGCCUCGGCCGGUAGCCAAAUCUCCGGGGAUUCCCUCUACUUUCUUCUGACCCGGCAGGCCACUGCCUUGCCCAUGCCCAGUACGCCACGCUCCACUGCCAAUGGAACCCACCUUCGGAUCCGGUGAUCCCCGGCGACGCGAAUCGCACACCACCGCUAUUGUAUGCAGAUCCGCCGGAUCUCGGGCUCCACUCCCUUCCCCCAACCUCCUCCCUCGAUGGUGGUCAACCUCGGCCACCAACACGUCCAAGGCUGUGGGGGAAUAGCGGCAACCGGCAGCGAUAAGGGGCCGUGCUGCGCGGCGCAGGUGGUCGGUGGCGGAGAGGGCCAGAUCCAUCGUGCCCCGAAAGGAGCUCACCGCCGGCAUCUGGCAGCGUGAUUCAUCCUUCGUCUUCGCCAACCGGAUGCGUGUCGCCUUCGUCGGAUCCGACCGCAGAUGCCGGCCCCUCUACACCUUGGUGCCCGGCGCGGGCACGGACUGUAGCCCCAUCCCGUGCCACCUCCCUCAUCCCCGGAUCCACCAGCACCUCCCCCGCCCAUGGCACGCCACGGUCAACAACGUCACCCCGCGGGUCAGAGUGAUGUGGCCACCGAUGAGCUCCGAGCGUCUUUCCCUCACAGCCCCCUUAAUGCUCUCUCUCCCCCUUGAUUUGUCUACACCAGAGCAGCUGCAGCGUUAGUGCACCAUCAGAUCUAGCGCUGACGGCCAUGAGCAGUGAGAGGAGUAGAGGAGGAAGAAAAGGACUGCAACCGCGUGCAGUACAUCACCCCGUGCGGGAUCCGUGCCAUGGUGAUUUUUUGAGUCAUAUUGCAUUUUACUUGCUUGAGCUAGCGGUUCGUCAGUCACAUUCCAUGCAGUGCAUUGCCAUGUUUUUGCAAUGCGUUGGCAUGUCCUUUCCAGUGAAGCACCAUCUAUUUUUCCAUGCAGUGCAUUGGCAUGUUUUUGCAGUGCGUUGGCAUGUUCUUUCCUGGGAAGCACCAUCUAUUUUUGUGACGAUUUUGUGUCUUCUUUGUAUGUUCAGUGCACUACAGUUUAGGGCACCUCGUGCGGUUCAAAAACGUGGGCUUGCAAUGCAUUAGCUCAUCCUGUGACGAAGAAAACAAGUGUCUCGUAUGCUGAAUUUGGUGUCUCGUGUGUAUUGUUUGUGUAAAAAGAAUGAUGUUUCAUUACCUCUC
Triticum dicoccoides is the source of this 1633-nucleotide long non-coding RNA. RefSeq lists it as uncharacterized. The record is from RefSeq and is a predicted model, not a curated record. Lineage: Eukaryota; Viridiplantae; Streptophyta; Magnoliopsida; Poales; Poaceae. The transcript has 2 exons.